RNAcentral lists this ribosomal RNA (267 nucleotides) under uncultured Staphylococcus sp. RNAcentral describes it as "partial 16S ribosomal RNA". It matches the Rfam family "Bacterial small subunit ribosomal RNA", at positions 96 to 355 of the family's 1533-position model. The record is from RNAcentral. Lineage: Bacteria; Bacillati; Bacillota; Bacilli; Caryophanales; Staphylococcaceae.
CGGCGGACGGGUGAGUAACACGUGGGUAACCUACCUAUAAGACUGGGACAACUUCGGGAAACCGGAGCUAAUACCGGAUAAGAUAUCGAACCGCAUGGUUCGAUAGUGAAAGAUGGGUUUUGCUAUCACUUAUAGAUGGACCCGCGCCGUAUUAGCUAGUUGGUGAGGUAACGGCUCACCAAGGCAACGAUACGUAGCCGACCUGAGAGGGUGAUCGGCCACACUGGAACUGAGACACGGCCCAGACUCCUACGGGAGGCAGCAGCU